UGUGAUUUUCGGUUGGAUAGAUGCUGAAACUGUAUUAGUGAGUGAUUGCUUGUUCGAUUUUUGGAUAUUUAUGUUGAUUACAACUGCUUUGAAAGGAUAUUAAUAAGAUUUAGCAAACCAUUUCUCAUGCUUUUGCUUGUCCCAUCUCACAACUAUUCAACAGCAGGCCCAAUUUCUUUCUCCUCUUUCAUAUCCCAUCUCAGAACUAUUCAGCAGCAGCCCCAAUUCUCUCUCCUCUUGCAUGUGAUUUUCGCUGCGAUUUUCCUUCUUUGGUUUGGGCCGCGAAUUUCAUGAUAAUUAGCAAGAAAUCAUGGAGGAAGAAGUUACCUAUCUUCACUGUAGCAGCUAAUCUUUGUUCAUUCAACUACCCAAAACGCUGAGCCAAACGCCAUGUUACGAUAUAGAAGAAACUUGUUUCGACUGCAACUCUAGCUUCCGUUUGCUAUCAUUGUCUUUCCAGUGGCAGCUCUACGAUGGUUCGUCUUCCUCGCCUUGGCAUUGGCUGCUGCUGCUGCCUCAUCGUCCAUGUUCGCUAGAUAUUCGAACCAAGGGAAUGAAAUGAAAGUGAAUAAGGGAUGUUGAUGAUUGAGGAGCAACCUAACUAUGUUAGAAAUGAGAUGAGUGGAAGUGUUUGUUUGUGGGUACGGUGAUCGGAUCAUGUAGUGUCUGAUAUGUAUUAAUGUGGAGGAAAAUGGCUUAAGCUUGACGGUGUGGUGUGGCUAGACAAGUAGACAAGCUCCAAGCCAAGGCAGGUUUACAUUUAUGUAGUGUUUUGUUUCUUUGGCAAUGGGAUUGGAUUGGUGGGUGACAUGUUGUCUGUGUGUAUAAUUGAUUUGGAUUUGUUAUAGUGAUUUUUGAAAUGAGAAGGUGUUGAUUGGAGAAUGGUCACGUUAAUGAUGAGGGGAUGGAUCGUUCUAAACUUCAGCUUUAGGAUGCGAAACGGACGCUAUGCAAAUCCUGAAUUGGUAAGCCUCUCUCUAUCUUCUCGAUUCAGUCAUCAUGAGCGCGUGGGUCAGUCGGUUGUGCCGAGUGUGACUCAACAGAUUGGAGGGUUGGUUUUUUUUUUUUUUU
Hevea brasiliensis (rubber tree) is the source of this 1071-nucleotide RNA transcript. RefSeq lists it as uncharacterized. The record is from RefSeq and is a predicted model, not a curated record. The transcript is spliced from 2 exons. NCBI's taxonomy places the organism in Eukaryota, Viridiplantae, Streptophyta, Magnoliopsida, Malpighiales, Euphorbiaceae.